Molecule: long non-coding RNA, 963 nt
Filed under: Apteryx owenii (little spotted kiwi)
Lineage: Eukaryota; Metazoa; Chordata; Aves; Apterygiformes; Apterygidae
Description: lncRNA (ENSAOWG00000007865.1)
Source: RNAcentral
GGCUCUGCUGGGUGGAAUAAAGAUGGCUUGCAAUGAAAAUGCGAAAUGCCGGGAAACCCGUGGACUUCCCGGCUGUAGCGCUUUGAAUCCUAGCUACGCUGCUGCGUUCGGAUCCGAGAGCUGGAAGCGGGGAAAAUGCUUUUAGUUUGGCACCUGCACCUUGUCCUACUCCAAAGCCGUUCGUCUGAGACGGGACAUAUCUGAAGAGCGCGGAAAGGGCCUGCCUGGCUCGUUCUUUGGGAUUUUUUUCCCCCCCCGAUGUGGGCAGAAUAAAAUCGAAGUCACGUUUGACGAGGGCAGAGACGUUUCCUCGUCCGGACGCGGAAGCUACAGCUGUAUUUUUCUAGCGCCUCGUCCCCUUGCAGGAGCAUCGGGAACGCCACCCCCGUUACGAGCACGGGACCGUUGCACCUCUCGAAUCGUCCCACCAAGCCGCGAGCCCUUUCGGCGGGUUAAGGAGAAGAGUCUCGGCACGGUCCCCACCCCCCGCGGAAGUGGCUCCCGAAACCCGGUUCCCCUGCUCAAGCCGAAGGGCUCCAACCUAAUUCUCCUGCCAGCCGGCGGUUCCCGAGCGCAGUCUCUUUUCUGGCAGCGGUUGCUAUAAUUGUCUGAACUGUGUGAAAUCUCUGGGAAUGAUUUUUACGUUUUGUUGUGGGGGUUUUUUUUUGUUGUUGUUUUAAUAAUAUUUAAUUUUAUGCAAUGUGUUUCAAACCGGUCGAGGUCUGCGCAACCUUCUCCCUUUUGGGCGCAACGCGUUUUCCAAUGGGACGGCGUCCGUCGGUACGUUAUUCCUUGCCAAACGUUACUCCUUUUAGAGCGGUCACCUUGCCGGUUUGAAGCUCCGAACGGUUUGUUUUCCGCCGCGGUGAAACGCACCUUGCUUUGAAGGAUCACAAUUUUGAUAUUUCUUUGUACUUUUUUUUCCCUUGUGUGGUGAAGUCAAUAAACGGAUAGAAAAAAACA